This 1238-nucleotide unclassified non-coding RNA is filed under the name Pleurotus pulmonarius. Its description in RNAcentral is "sequence contains 18S rRNA gene, ITS1, 5.8S rRNA gene, ITS2". The stretch from base 266 to 419 matches the Rfam family "5.8S ribosomal RNA". Lineage: Eukaryota; Fungi; Basidiomycota; Agaricomycetes; Agaricales; Pleurotaceae. The record is from RNAcentral.
CUUCCGUAGGUGAACCUGCGGAAGGAUCAUUAAUGAAUUCACUAUGGAGUUGUUGCUGGCCUCUAGGGGCAUGUGCACGCUUCACUAGUCUUUCAACCACCUGUGAACUUUUGAUAGAUCUGUGAAGUCGUCCUUCAAGUCGUCAGACUUGGUUUGCUGGGAUUUAAACGUCUCGGUGUGACAACGCAGUCUAUUUACUUAACACACCCCAAAUGUAUGUCUACGAAUGUCAUUUAAUGGGCCUUGUGCCUAUAAACCAUAAUACAACUUUCAACAACGGAUCUCUUGGCUCUCGCAUCGAUGAAGAACGCAGCGAAAUGCGAUAAGUAAUGUGAAUUGCAGAAUUCAGUGAAUCAUCGAAUCUUUGAACGCACCUUGCGCCCCUUGGUAUUCCGAGGGGCAUGCCUGUUUGAGUGUCAUUAAAUUCUCAAACUCACAUUUAUUUGUGAUGUUUGGAUUGUUGGGGGUUGCUGGCUGUAACAAGUCGGCUCCUCUUAAAUGCAUUAGCAGGACUUCUCAUUGCCUCUGCGCAUGAUGUGAUAAUUAUCACUCAUCAAUAGCACGCAUGAAUAGAGUCCAGCUCUCUAAUCGUCCGCAAGGACAAUUUGACCUUCCGUAGGUGAACCUGCGGAAGGAUCAUUAAUGAAUUCACUAUGGAGUUGUUGCUGGCCUCUAGGGGCAUGUGCACGCUUCACUAGUCUUUCAACCACCUGUGAACUUUUGAUAGAUCUGUGAAGUCGUCCUUCAAGUCGUCAGACUUGGUUUGCUGGGAUUUAAACGUCUCGGUGUGACAACGCAGUCUAUUUACUUAACACACCCCAAAUGUAUGUCUACGAAUGUCAUUUAAUGGGCCUUGUGCCUAUAAACCAUAAUACAACUUUCAACAACGGAUCUCUUGGCUCUCGCAUCGAUGAAGAACGCAGCGAAAUGCGAUAAGUAAUGUGAAUUGCAGAAUUCAGUGAAUCAUCGAAUCUUUGAACGCACCUUGCGCCCCUUGGUAUUCCGAGGGGCAUGCCUGUUUGAGUGUCAUUAAAUUCUCAAACUCACAUUUAUUUGUGAUGUUUGGAUUGUUGGGGGUUGCUGGCUGUAACAAGUCGGCUCCUCUUAAAUGCAUUAGCAGGACUUCUCAUUGCCUCUGCGCAUGAUGUGAUAAUUAUCACUCAUCAAUAGCACGCAUGAAUAGAGUCCAGCUCUCUAAUCGUCCGCAAGGACAAUUUGACAAUUGACCUCAAAUCAGG